GGGCAGCAGAGGCGGUUCCGGCUGCGGCUCUGCGGGCGGGCGGGCGGGCGGGCGGCGAGUUGAGCGGGCCGGGGGGCGGGGAUGCGGAGCCGCCGUCGCCGCCUGAGAACCUGAGCGUCGCCGGGCCCCGCCCGCGCGGUCACCACAGUCUGAACGCGCCGCGCUUCCCGAGCGCGGGCCGGGCCCAGCGCCGGCCGCACCGCGUCUGGGUCCCGGCGGCCCGCCCCCCGCGCGCCGCCUCGCCCGCGCGCUCGGCGCUCAUGCGGGCCGAGCCCCGCCCCCCGGCCCGAGCCCGCCGAGCGCCCCCCGAGCCAGCGCGCGCCGUCCGCCCGCACCAUGCUCAAGUGCAUCCCGCUGUGGCGCUGCAACCGGCACGUGGAGUCGGUGGACAAGCGGCACUGCUCCCUGCAGGCUGUGCCCGAGGAGAUCUACCGCUACAGCCGCAGCCUGGAGGAACUGCUGCUCGACGCUAACCAGCUGCGCGAGCUGCCCAAGGUGAGCGGCCGCCGCACCUGCCAUCCUGACGCCCGAGGCGCGGCGCCCGGCGGACUGGACGGGUACUGUCCCGCUGCGGCUGCCGGCUGGAGCGAGACCUCGGCGGACGCUGCCGGGCGGGGCACCGAGCUGCAAGCCGGCCCAGCUGGUUCUUACUGGCCAGAGCCCCGCCCCGGUCGGCCACCCCCACCCCCAUCGCCUGUGCUAGCACCAGGUGGCCGCGGUCCUUGGGUCCGUGCCUGGGGAUGGAGUCGAAGAGCUGCUGAAUGAAACCCGUGCACGGGGGCGAGGGAGGGAGAUGGGACCAGGGUAGAAGGUGGACCUGGCGUGGCAGUGGAUACAACUUGCUGGGCUGCGCUGAAGGUGGGGUCCUGGAAUUCUCCCUGCACUGGCGCCUUUCCCUUUGGGUGCGGGCUGGGUGGGGCCUCCUAGAGUGCCCAGCCUGUCAGGUUUGUUCUCUGCAACCUCGCUGUGGGGUCAACUCUCGUGUCCCACGGUUCUUCCCGUCAGCUUGUUUUUCUUCUAGGGUCUUCCCAAAAUCCCUAGAAAGGAGCCAAGGGAAAGCAGAUCACGAAAGAUUUCCUUUUCAGGAACACGGGUCUAAAUGAUCUGUUGUUCAGGGGUUGGGUGCCAUGGAGGGUGUGGCUUUGCUCUGGGCAGUUCUGUGUUUCGUGGUCACCAACAGAACUUGUCUGUGUGUCCUGUGAUUCCUGUGUAUGGCAUUGAAUGUUUUGUGGUAGUUCGCUGUUUUUAGGGGUUUUUUCCCCCCCUCUCUUUUUGUGGGUUUUGUUGAGCUUUUAUUGAUUAUUGUCAGAAAGCAGCAGUAAGCACCAUUGGGGGGGUCCCUCGGUGACUGAUCUGUGGAUGAAAGAAGUUUUUAGGGUGGUGGUUGGAGGUCUGAGGGUCACUCUGGGCAGCUUCUCAGCUGGGCCAGUUACGUGAGAGAUGCAACAGAUAUGGAGGCUCCUGUGAGGUGAUCAGGGGACGAGAUGUCAAGUGGGAAAUGGAGUCUGACCAGGGCCGGGUGCUGUCUGUUUCCCUGUUUUCCUCUCAGCAACUGGGGCACCAUGGCUAGAUCCCUGUACCUUGUGACCUGGGGCAGGAAGAGUUUUAGAGACCUGGGACUUUCUAAGUGUUCGGGAGCCCUUUUCUUUUCUUCUUUUUUCUUUUUUUUAAAUACUCAACUUCUAGGUAGAUACAACAUCUUUAUUUUACAUUUAUGUGGUGCUGACGAUUGAACCCAGUGCCUUGUGCAUGCUAGGCGAGCGCUCUACCACCGAGCCACAACUCCAGGCCCCUCAGGAGCCCUUUUCUGUCCUCGGGGGUUGCAGCUGUGGAACCAUUCCCUGACUGAACCCCCUACUCACAGCCCUUCUUCCGGCUGCUGAACCUGCGCAAGCUGGGCCUCAGUGACAACGAGAUUCAACGGCUGCCUCCUGAAGUGGCCAACUUUAUGCAGCUGGUGGAGCUGGACGUGUCCCGUAAUGGUAGGUGGGCAAUACAGGGUGAGACAAGGAGGUCCUGGCAGCUGUAGGCAUCUCUCUAUGGUGACCUUCCCACAGAUAUUCCUGAAAUACCUGAGAGCAUCAAGUUUUGCAAAGCCCUAGAGAUUGCAGACUUCAGUGGGAAUCCUCUGUCCAGGUGAAUUCAGUGGUGGGGGUCAGUGUGACUGUGGCAGUCUUGCAGCCCUGCUCUGAGUAUCUGAGGUCCUCUGCUUUCACCUUCCUCUGCCAGACUCCCUGAUGGCUUCACACAGCUGCGCAGCCUGGCUCACCUGGCCCUGAAUGACGUGUCCCUACAGGCACUGCCCGGGGAUGUGGGCAAGUGAGUGCUGCUUGUGAACUGGUCUGGGGGAGGAUCAGCUUGGCCUUGCCUCCCUCAGUCUCAGCCCUGGUCUCUCUCUCAGUCUGGCCAACCUAGUGACCCUGGAGCUCCGGGAGAACCUGCUCAAGUCUUUGCCUGCGUGAGUGUGCUGGGCCUCCACCUUGCAUGGGCGGAGCGAUGCUGGGCCUGGGCCUUGAGACCACACCAAGACUGUCUCUUGUGCAGGUCCCUGUCUUUUCUGGUCAAGCUGGAACAGCUGGAUCUGGGAGGCAACGACCUAGAAGUGUUGGUAUGGUGGGAGCCAUUGGGUGGGGCACAGGGGUGUAAGACAGUUACUCCUGCUGGGCAAAGCAGAGUAUCUCUGUGGCCACACCGGGUUCUCCUGUCCUUAUCCCUUCUUUUAGCCGGACACUCUGGGAGCUCUGCCCAACCUGCGGGAGCUGUGGCUGGACCGGAACCAACUGUCAGCACUGCCCCCGGUGAGUGAGGGCAGGACUGGCCUCCUACCUCCAGCUGCUGUCCCCUGACCCUGUGCCUGCCCUUAGGAGCUCGGGAACCUAAGGCGUUUGGUGUGUCUGGAUGUGUCUGAGAACCGGCUAGAGGAGCUGCCGGUAGAGCUGGGGGGUCUGGCACUUCUCACAGACCUGCUGCUGUCCCAGAACCUGCUGCAGCGGCUUCCUGAUGGCAUUGGUCAGUGCACCCAGGGGGGCCUAGGGGUUGCAUGCCCUGGUCAGGCGGCCCCACAAGCUGUCAGCAAAGGUACUGGUGGGCAUUAGAUGAGGGUUCUUAUGUCAUCCAAGCUGGAAGCAUCUCAAGGAAGGGAACUGAGGCCAAGACUCAAGUUGGGUCCUGAGACAUCUAGGUAUCAGCCUACAGGGGCAGGGUAGUUCACGUGGCAGAGUGGGUUCAGGUCUUAUGAACAUGGAUAGCGGGCAUAGUGUUUUCCCAGAAGAAGUCAGGUGGGCAGGGCUGUUUCAGGUCUGUAGUGGAGAAGACGGGAGGGCGAGCACAGGUCUGCUGCAGCUCAGGGUUCUCGGGGUCCUCUCAGGAGCCAUGGGAUCUGGCUGUAGCCAUGCAGAAAGCUGGUCUCUACUGGAGGGUUGGGUCAAGUGUUCAGAUUUGCCCUUGGCCCCACUCAGCCUGAUCACUGUGUUUCCCUGACACCAGGUCAGCUGAAGCAGCUGUCUAUCCUGAAAGUGGACCAGAAUCGCCUGUGUGAGGUGACUGAGGCCAUUGGUGACUGUGAGAACCUCUCUGAGCUGAUCCUCACAGAGAAUCUGCUAACGGUAGGCAACCCUGGCUACCAGGCAGAGAGGUGCUCAGUUCCUAAGUUGUCCUCAGCGUCAUCUUGAGACGAUGGGGCCUGGAGUGUGUAGGGUACAGUGAGAGUGCCAGCACACAGCAAGAGCCGAAGGGGCUGCUAGCACCGUAUGUGUUGCGUGCUAGCAGAUGCUGGUGGCCAGGCUUGUUGGGGUCUGUGUCCCCUGCUGGGGCAAACUCAGGUGGAGAAUACUUUGGGUCAAAGAGGGAGCUCCCUGGUAGGCGCCAGGGCAGGGUGGGGUCUGUGGGCCAGGGCAGGGCCCUCCCAGGUGGAGUAGAGAGCUAAGGUCCUGUUUUACAUAGUGUGUGUUGUGCUGGGCAAGGGCCAGAGGGGAGGACCGGUAAGAACGGGUCUGAUUUUGGAAUGGAUGUGGAUCCGGACAGGGGGGCUGCUUUUCAGGUACAUCUGUUCCUUGCAAAGCGGGACAGAGGAAAGUUUAUGGAAUAUGGUUGGAGUGGUUACCAACCUUGCUACCAUCUGGUGGACAAGGCAUCUGGACCGCCCCUUCACACAGGAUGUCCUGUUUUACGUAGUGUGUGUUGUGCUGGGCGAGGGCCAGAGGGGAGGACCGGUAAGAAUGGGUCUGAUUUUGGAAUGGAUGUGGAUCUGGACAUGGGGUCUGCCUUUCAGGUCCAUCUGUUCCUUGCAAAGCGGGACAGAGGAAAGUUUAUGGAAUGGGGUUGGAGUGGUUACCAACCUUGCUACCAUCUGGUGGGCAAGGCAUCUGGACCGCCCCUUCACACAGGAUGUCUGUAUCUCAGUGAGGAGAAAAGAGAGCAGCGAGGCCAAGGGGCAGACAGAGCAGGAGCUGGCCCAUGCAUCAGAGGGGCCCAUAGGCACCUAGCCCUGAAAUGUCUGCACCAGGGUACCUGCAGGAGAGGUCCAUGGACAGUGUAGUCAGAAGUUUUGGGUGGCCUGACUGGGUUUGGUGCCAGCGCGCAGGCGGGUACAGAGCGAGGGAUAUAGCUUAAUUCUACAUCCCUGAUUCCCAGAGGCCAUGGGGAUCCCCGGCUAAAGCUGAUCAUGAUUUCCAUUAUCCUUAAUUUGCCCCAAAGGAUUCUCGUCUUCUUUCUUCAUACCCCAGGGGUCUUCUGCUGACCUCUGACCCCUUUUUCUCCUGGCCAGGCCCUGCCCCACUCUCUGGGCAAGUUGACCAAGCUCACCAACCUCAAUGUGGACCGGAAUCACCUCGAGGCGCUACCACCUGAGAUCGGAGGCUGUGUGGCACUCAGUGUUCUCUCUUUGAGGGACAAUCGCCUGGCAGUCCUGCCUCCUGAGCUCGCCCGCACGGCCGAGCUGCACGUGCUUGAUGUAGCUGGGAACCGGUGAGUGUCCACCUGGCCCUUGGGCACUGGUCGUGUCCCUAGCACACACUGACUAUGCCCACCUGGCCCAGGCUACGGAGUCUGCCGUUCGCGCUCACUCACCUCAACCUCAAGGCACUGUGGCUGGCUGAGAACCAGGCGCAGCCCAUGCUGCGGUUCCAGACUGAGGACGAUGCCCAGACUGGCGAGAAGGUGCUCACCUGCUACCUGCUGCCCCAGCAGCCUCUGCCCAGCCUCGGUAGGUUGCUGGCAGCUGUGGCUUUGACUGGGUGGACAAGGCUCGGGGCCAGCCUAGGCCUCUGAUGUUUGUCUCCUGCAGAGGACUCUGGGCAACAGGGGAGCCCCUCAGAAAGCUGGAGUGAAGCCCCUCUGAGCCGAGUCAGCGUCAUCCAGUUCCUGGAGGCCCCUGAGGGUGACGAGGAUGCUGAGGAGGCCGCUGCUGAAAAGCGGGUAUGGGGGGCAUGGGGACCCUGGGUGUGCCUGCUCCUCGCCCCUGCCUGACCCCUGCCCUGCCUCUGUCCUUCAUCCCUGUCCCCGACACAGGGCCUGCAGCGUCGGGCCACUCCCCACCCCAGCGAGCUGAAGGUGAUGAAGAGGGGAGUGGAAGAGCGCCGCAGUGAGGCCUGCCUUUGCACACCAGGCCCUGGCCCGUCCUCACCCACAGAGGAGGUAGGCGCGACGGCGGCACCUGGCACAUAGCUCCCCCCAGCUCCCAGCCACCAAACCCUGGAUGGAGCAUCUGUUCUCAGAGUGGGGCUCGGGGAGCAGCCUGGGGGAGCUAUGAGAGGCUGAGGUGCAGGGCAGACUGGGUGCGGGGAGCUCGUGCAGUGUGCGUAUUGGGACCAGAGUAGGGUGCUCAGGGCCUGCGCCAGUCACGUGCUGGUGACACAGGAUGGCGGUCUGGGAAGGGGUAGGACCUCUUCCCCGGGCACUUGUGUGGCUACCUGGACAUGGUCAGUACUGGGGAGGGGUCUGGUGCUACAGCAGAGCGGGCUUGGCGCGCUCAACUGACAUCAGGAUCUGGGAGCAUUUUUGAUCCUUGAGAGCAGCAGAAGCAGCGAGUGGGAUGGUGAGCAGAGGGCAUGCGCUGGCUGGCAGGGCCACCUGCCCCUGGCUAGGGGAGCCUCACGUCAGGCCCAUAUCUUCAUGGGAAUUUGUAUGGUCCUCAUUCCUCCACUUUUUGGGAGAGCCGUUCCUAGGGGCUGGGCUGCAUAAAUGUGAUUUUGUGUUUCAGUAGCUCUGGAGGCUCAGUUUCCAGGGGCCUGGGGCUACUGCAGGGUUGAGCCUGCUGGGGAUGCUGUGCUUGGGAUAGCCCAGGCAGAGGGCCUGUGGGCAGCCUGAUACCACUGUCUGCAGCAGGAAAAGAGGCUGAGUGCAGAGUCAGGCUCCAGUGGAGGCUCUGGCCCACCCACCAGCACAGCCUCUGAGGGCGAGCCUGAGGGUCCGGCAGCUGAGGCACAGCAGGAAGCCACACCACCCAGCCAGGAGGAAGACACAGAGGAAGACUACGUUGAGGUGAGGAUGGUCAGGGAGAAGGUGGGCCAGGCUUUAGCAGCUAGAGUAUAGACUGCCUGCCUUGUGCCCCAGCCAAGCAGGUGUGUGAUUAGGGUUGAUUUCCACGUGGACGGUCACCAGGCUGUGGCAGACAAUGGCCAGACAAGAGUGGAGUGUAGGGCAGGAUUCCCUUAACAGAGCUGGGCAAAGGAGUAGGGAUGGGGUGAUAGUCCUGGGUGCAGGCAACAUGUUGCAGGAGUUUCCUGGAGGAUGCAGGCUGGUGUAAGGGUUCCCACCCCACAGCCAGGUUCAGCAGUGUCAGGUCCAUCAUCUACUUACUGUCCCCAAAUGGCCCCCUUUUCUGACCCCUGUAGGUACUCCAUUGGUCUUUGCGUAUCAUAAAGUCUCCACCUGUGUGCUCUGUGUCUAUAGAAAGAGCGUCCUCGCCCCUCGUCUUCUGGGGCUGGUGGUUGUGUGUCUCUUACCAAAAGUGUCCUGAGUCCCUGUCCUUGGCACAACAGGGAGCCUCCCUGAGACUCUGGGGUGUACCCAGCUACAAAGCCUGGCUCCCUGGAAGAAGAGGGGGGUCUGGGCCUUGCUCCCACCCUUGUGUUCUCAUCCGCACAGCCCACAGUACACUUUGCAGAGGAUACACUGCUGCCCGGUGAAGAUGGCGAGAGUGAGGAGGGGCAGCUUGAGGCCCCCUGGCCCCUGCCAGGUGGGAGGCAGCGGCUCAUUCGCAAGGACACACCCCACUACAAGAAGCACUUCAAGAUCUCUAAGCUUCCGCAGCCUGAGGCUGUCGUAGCCCUUCUGCAGGGGAUGCAGCCCGACGGGGAGGGCCCUGCAGGGCCUGGUACCUGGCACAAUGGCCCCCACAUGCCCUGGGCUCCUCGGGCCCAGGAGGAGGAGGAGGAGGAGGAGGAGGAGGAGGAGGAAGACAGGGCUGAGGAGGAAGGCGAGGCCACUACAGAAGAGGAGGACAAGGAGGAACCUGCGACUUCUGCACCCUCUGUCAAGGUGGGUCUCACGUGCACUCCUCUCUGGCCCUCCUAGGGUACCUGGGGAUGGGCAGCAUGGAGGCCAGCCCAGACUGCCCUGUGGCUGAGCCCCUCAGGUCAGGCCUCCACUCACU
Molecule: long non-coding RNA, 7594 nt
Filed under: Marmota monax (woodchuck)
Lineage: Eukaryota; Metazoa; Chordata; Mammalia; Rodentia; Sciuridae
Rfam family: mir-937 microRNA precursor family (bases 2786-2869)
Source: RNAcentral